UACGGGGGGAGCAAGCGUUGUUCGGAUUUACUGGGCGUAAAGGGCGCGUAGGCGGUCGUGCCAAGUCACUUGUGAAAUCUCCGGGCUUAACUCGGAACGGUCAAGUGAUACUGUCGGACUAGAGUACAGAAGGGGCAACUGGAAUUCUCGGUGUAGCGGUGAAAUGCGUAGAUAUCGUCAAGAACACCUAUAGCGAAGGCAGCUUACUAGGCUGUAACUGACGCUGAGGCACGAAAGUGUGGGGAUCAAACAGG
This 254-nucleotide ribosomal RNA is filed under the name uncultured bacterium. Its description in RNAcentral is "partial 16S ribosomal RNA". It matches the Rfam family "Bacterial small subunit ribosomal RNA", at positions 524 to 776 of the family's 1533-position model. The record is from RNAcentral.